Molecule: long non-coding RNA, 948 nt
Organism: Dermacentor silvarum
Lineage: Eukaryota; Metazoa; Arthropoda; Arachnida; Ixodida; Ixodidae
Exons: 4
Source: RefSeq, a predicted model, not a curated record
UGAAGCAGCUUUAUAGCCGGACAUCAGAGGCCUUCCAAGUUCCCCUUUUCAGCAACAGAGGCCUAGGAUGCCAUUCUACCUGUGCUGCAUUGUGUGGCUGACCACUCCUAGGAUCUCAGCAGAAUCAUUACACAGUUUCAGAAGCCACAAUUGCCUGGCAUGCUGUCUGGUCAUGAUGCGUGGCUACAAUGAAGUCCUGCUGACCCCAAGCAUGGUGUGAAAUGAAGAAAUGGCACUCCACAUCCAUAGAGAGCUUGAUUUCCCCUGUUUCAUGCUUACUUGUUGGCAUAGCCAGUCUGUUAGCUUAAUUUUUGGUUCUUCCCUAUUGAAUGCUCAAGAAAGGCACCAAAACUGUCAUUCAUUGAAAAAAAAGUUGUUUGCAGACACUGCCAUGCACAAAGCCCUUGACUUCAUUGAAUGUUUUUAAAAGAAAAUGCAGCUUCUGUGUGCAGCAAUAGGCUGAACAAGAUGAGGGCAAACAGGAAGGUUGCGACAUUAGUGUUCAAGAGUUGGCCAACAAAGAAGGUCACAAGCUGAAGCCAACAUCUUUACAAGGGAACAAAUGGAUUUAGCCUGAGCCAUUCCCUGUUCGACCAGCCAAGUCCCCUUGUCGAAACAUGUGCUCUAGCCUGAGGCGUACAUAUCCCAUUCUACCACUCUCGAUCAACGAUACACCAAAACAAUUAAGAACUCGUGGCAAGGUCGUAAAUUCACGUUUUAAGGGAAUGUAGUGUGCACCCUGCAAGGUAGCAUGAAUAGUAUGGCAUUUACUUGAAUGAAAUGCAGAUUUGCUUGCCAGUUACUUUAUCCCCAUGCUAUAAUUGGAAAGCAUGGUUCCUAAGAGAGAAUAAUGAUUUGAAGUUCACGCAGUUUUGCUCCUUUAUGUAAGUUCACACUGUUACGGUUGCUACACUACCAGUCCUGUUUGCAACUGCAUAGUAGUGUUCU